Molecule: transfer RNA, 72 nt
Filed under: Candidatus Vidania fulgoroideorum
Lineage: Bacteria; Pseudomonadati; Pseudomonadota; Betaproteobacteria
Description: tRNA-Ala
Rfam family: tRNA
About the family: Transfer RNA (tRNA) molecules are approximately 80 nucleotides in length. Their secondary structure includes four short double-helical elements and three loops (D, anti-codon, and T loops).
Source: RNAcentral
GGGAAAGUAACUCAGUGGUAGAGUAUCUGUUUUGCACUCAGGAAGUCAACGGUUCGAUUCCGUUUUUUUCCA